CCUACGGGAGGCAGCAGUGGGGAAUAUUGCACAAUGGGCGCAAGCCUGAUGCAGCGACGCCGCGUGAGGGAUGACGGCCUUCGGGUUGUAAACCUCUUUCAGUAGGGAAGAAGCGAAAGUGACGGUACCUGCAGAAGAAGCGCCGGCUAACUACGUGCCAGCAGCCGCGGUAAUACGUAGGGCGCAAGCGUUAUCCGGAAUUAUUGGGCGUAAAGAGCUCGUAGGCGGUUUGUCGCGUCUGCCGUGAAAGUCCGGGGCUCAACUCCGGAUCUGCGGUGGGUACGGGCAGACUAGAGUGAUGUAGGGGAGACUGGAAUUCCUGGUGUAGCGGUGAAAUGCGCAGAUAUCAGGAGGAACACCGAUGGCGAAGGCAGGUCUCUGGGCAUUAACUGACGCUGAGGAGCGAAAGCAUGGGGAGCGAACAGGAUUAGAUACCCUGGUAGUCCAUGCCGUAAACGUUGGGCACUAGGUGUGGGGGACGAUUCCACGUUUUCCGCGCCGUAGCUAACGCAUUAAGUGCCCCGCCUGGGGAGUACGGCCGCAAGGCAAAACUCAAAGGAAUUGACGG
RNAcentral lists this ribosomal RNA (568 nucleotides) under uncultured bacterium. RNAcentral describes it as "bacterial SSU rRNA". It matches the Rfam family "Bacterial small subunit ribosomal RNA", at positions 338 to 916 of the family's 1533-position model. The record is from RNAcentral.